Molecule: ribosomal RNA, 439 nt
Filed under: Psychrobacter sp. V4.BE.04
Lineage: Bacteria; Pseudomonadati; Pseudomonadota; Gammaproteobacteria; Moraxellales; Moraxellaceae
Description: bacterial SSU rRNA
Rfam family: Bacterial small subunit ribosomal RNA
Source: RNAcentral
GAAAUCCCCGGGCUUAACCUGGGAACUGCAUCUGAAACUGUUAGGCUAGAGUAGGUGAGAGGGAAGUAGUAUUUCAGGUGUAGCGGUGAAAUGCGUAGAGAUCUGAAGGAAUACCGAUGGCGAAGGCAGCUUCCUGGCAUCAUACUGACACUGAGGCUCGAAAGCGUGGGUAGCAAACAGGAUUAGAUACCCUGGUAGUCCACGCCGUAAACGAUGUCUACUAGUCGUUGGGUCCCUUGAGGACUUAGUGACGCAGCUAACGCAAUAAGUAGACCGCCUGGGGAGUACGGCCGCAAGGUUAAAACUCAAAUGAAUUGACGGGGGCCCGCACAAGCGGUGGAGCAUGUGGUUUAAUUMGAUGCAACGCGRAGMACCWYACCUGGUCUASACAUAUCUAGMAUCYUGCAGAGAUGCGGGAGUUCCUUCGGGAGAUAGAAUG